GAUGAACGCUAGCGGCAGGCCUAAUACAUGCAAGUCGGACGGGAUUUGGGAGCUUGCUCCCAAUGAGAGUGGCGCACGGGUGCGUAACACGUAUGUAACCUACCUUAAUCAGGGGGAUAGCCUCUCGAAAGAGAGAUUAACACCGCAUAAUAUAUUUGUAUGGCAUCGUAGAAAUAUCAAAUAUGUAUAGGAUUAAGAUGGGCAUGCGGAACAUUAGCUAGUGGGUAAGGUAACGGCUUACCAAGGCUACGAUGUUUAGGGGAUCUGAGAGGAUGACCCCCCACACUGGUACUGAGACACGGACCAGACUCCUACGGGAGGCAGCAGUAAGGAAUAUUGGUCAAUGGGCGCAAGCCUGAACCAGCCAUGCCGCGUGCAGGAAGACGGCCCUAUGGGUUGUAAACUGCUUUUGUACCGGAAUAAACCCUUUUACGUGUAAAAGGCUGAAUGUACGGUAAGAAUAAGGAUCGGCUAACUCCGUGCCAGCAGCCGCAGUAA
This 498-nucleotide ribosomal RNA is filed under the name uncultured bacterium. Its description in RNAcentral is "partial 16S ribosomal RNA". It matches the Rfam family "Bacterial small subunit ribosomal RNA", at positions 28 to 523 of the family's 1533-position model. The record is from RNAcentral.